CACUGACAGUAAAUAUAUAUUCAGACAAGGAGGAGGUAUGAAACUACGUCCAAGUGAUAUACGUUUUUCACAGAAUUCUAUAAGGGAUGUUUUUGACAUGAAAUCAAAGCAUGCCAAUAUAAAACUUACCGAAACAUUGAAUUCUCUAUCCGAUGGGACAUGCAGUGUCUCUGAUAUACCGACUAUUACUGUAUUCAAAAAGGAUGACCUAUGGUACACACUUGAUAACAGGAGACUGUGGGUUUUCCAGGAGCUUGAAAAGAAGGGUAAAUGUACCGAAAUCCCCGUCAAGGAAGGUUGUCACAUUCCUGACAGAAAAUUCACUACAGAAAAUCAAGGAAAAACAGUCCAUGUACGAACGGGUGUCUGCUUAAGGAGAUCUAGGAGGUUCAAGCGCUAUUAGUUAUGGAAUAAUCAUAUUAAACCUAAAACGAGCCAGUGAAGGAUAUAAAACACAGUUAUGAAUCUACGUAGAUAGUUAUCCAGUCCAGUCGAGGAUUGUGGUGAUAUAGUACAGAUAGUUCUGAGCAUGGAAGAGCUAGCCUUAAUAGAGGACGAUGAAUUCUUAAAGAGAAUUACGGCUGACCGACCCUGGAUACUCUUGUUGGACAAAAGGAUGAAACAGUGACUAUGAAAUGGCGUUAUAAGCUCACAGCCCUACAGAAAAUAAUUGAUAAUGCAAUGAUAGAAAUGUAUUAACCUAACUAGAAUUCCUACCUGUCUUUAGACUAGAUUAUAUGUAUGAUGUAAAGCGUAUCUUAUUAAGCGUUGUUAGGGACUUAUGUAUUUCGUUUUAUCAGCUUACAAUUCUUCUUGUAAAAAUACUUUCAAUUUAUUUUAAUGCCUUUUUAUACUCAAUUUAUUUUAAUGCCUUUUUAUACCUCUAUUUUUUCUGUUUGAAAUAAAGUCUAUAGUUAAAUAGUA
This is a long non-coding RNA of Pecten maximus, 924 nucleotides long. RefSeq lists it as uncharacterized. The record is from RefSeq and is a predicted model, not a curated record. NCBI's taxonomy places the organism in Eukaryota, Metazoa, Mollusca, Bivalvia, Pectinida, Pectinidae. The transcript has 2 exons.